Molecule: small RNA, 437 nt
Filed under: Pan troglodytes (chimpanzee)
Lineage: Eukaryota; Metazoa; Chordata; Mammalia; Primates; Hominidae
Description: processed transcript
Source: RNAcentral
UUACUGUUAAGGGACGGAGUGGUUUAGUGAGAGAUACCAGGAAAGCUGGUUGAGCAGAGGAAGCACAUUGAUGCGGCCAUGGUUUUGGAAGAGUAUGCCCAGGAUUAUGAAGAAGCUGUGCUCUUGCUGUUAGAAGGAGCUGCCUGGGAAGAAGCUUUGAGGCUGGUAUACAAAUAUAACAGACUGGAUAUUAUAGAAACCAACGUAAAGCCUUCCAUUUUAGAAGCCCAGAAAAAUUAUAUGGCAUUUCUGGACUCUCAGACAGCCACAUUCAGUCGCCACAAGAAACGUUUAUUGAUAGUUCGAGAGCUCAAGGAGCAAGCCCAGCAGGCAGGUCUGGAUGAUGAGGUACCCCACGGCCAAGAGUCAGACCUCUUCUCUGAAACUAGCAGUGUUGUGAGUGGCAGUGAGAUGAGUGGCAAAUACUCCCAUAGUAA